GCGUUCACAGGAGUCCCCUGACACCUCCCACUCGGAAGAUAGCUAACGGGGGUCCUGCCAACCCUUCCCAUCCAACUUCCAUCUGAAAAGGAUUUUCUGCUAAAGUUGGGUCCAUGGCCAUCCAGCACCUGUAAGGCCGGCAGGAGCGUCUGCCCUCUACUCAGUUAAAGCCUGAAGUCGUUUCCUUUCGAUGGCCCUUAGGAGGCCCAAAAGAGGGGCGACAGAACAUGAUGUUGACACGGGCUGGGCGCCCCCAGAAGCCCGGGAACAAACGUUUCUACUUUCCAGGUCCACUGGUGUUUGGUGUACCCAUGUGACUAAUUUGUCCAAAGAGAGGUCUCAGCUGAAAUGAAACCUCCUCAGAAAAAUUUGUUCCUGACAAAUUAUAACUCAAAAAUCAAAAAUUUCUAAGGCCUUUGUUAUUCUCUUUAUCACAGCAUUGUACUCAUUUUCUUCUUAGUACUUAGAAACGUCUAUAAUUGUUUUACUUCUUUGUUUACCAUUAAAUGUCUGUAUCCUUUA
Molecule: long non-coding RNA, 522 nt
Filed under: Homo sapiens (human)
Lineage: Eukaryota; Metazoa; Chordata; Mammalia; Primates; Hominidae
Description: non-protein coding ARRDC3-AS1:6
Source: RNAcentral